RNAcentral lists this ribosomal RNA (229 nucleotides) under uncultured bacterium. Its description in RNAcentral is "partial 16S ribosomal RNA". It matches the Rfam family "Bacterial small subunit ribosomal RNA", at positions 118 to 347 of the family's 1533-position model. The record is from RNAcentral.
UGAGCAAUCUGCCCUUCUCAUCGGAAUAAGCGUUGGAAACGACGUCUAAUGCCGAAUACGACCUCCUUUCGCAUGAUCGGUGGUGGAAAGCUCCGGCGGAGAAGGAUGAGCUCGCGGCCUAUCAGCUAGUUGGUGUGGGUAACGCCACCAAGGCGACGACGGGUAGCCGGCCUGAGAGGGUGACCGGCCACACUGGGACUGAGACACGGCCCAGACCUCCGUACGGGGA